GACAGUUUGAAGAGGUGUGAUCAGUGCUGGGGAUAUCUAUCUUCGUCUGUAGGACAGUUUGAAGAGGUGUGAUCAGUGCUGGGGGAAUACCUAUCUUCGUCUGUAGGACAGUUUGAAGAGGUGUGAUCAGUGCUGGGGAUAUCUAUCUUCGUCUGUAGGACAGUUUGAAGAGGUGUGAUCAGUGCUGGGGGAAUACCUAUCUUCGUCUGUAGGACAGUUUGAAGAGGUGUGAUCAGUGCUGGGGGAAUACCUAUCUUCGUCUGCAGGACAGUUUGAAGAGGUGUGAUCAGUGCUGGGGAUAUCUAUCUUCGUCUGUAGGACAGUUUGAAGAGGUGUGAUCAGUGCUGGGGAUAUCUAUCUUCGUCUGCAGGACAGUUUGAAGAGGUGUGAUCAGUGCUGGGGAUAUCUAUCUUCGUCUGCAGGACAGUUUGAAGAGGUGUGAUCAGUGCUGGGGAUAUCUAUCUUCGUCUGUAGGACAGUUUGAAGAGGUGUGAUCAGUGCUGGGGGAAUACCUAUCUUCGUCUGUAGGACAGUUUGAAGAGGUGUGAUCAGUGCUGGGGGAAUACCUAUCUUCGUCUGUAGGACAGUUUGAAGAGGUGUGAUCAGUGCUGGGGGAAUACCUAUCUUCGUCUGUAGGACAGUUUGAAGAGGUGUGAUCAGUGCUGGGGGAAUACCUAUCUUCGUCUGCAGGACAGUUUGAAGAGGUGUGAUCAGUGCUGGGGAUAUCUAUCUUCGUCUGCAGGACAGUUUGAAGAGGUGUGAUCAGUGCUGGGGGAAUACCUAUCUUCGUCUGUAGGACAGUUUGAAGAGGUGUGAUCAGUGCUGGGGGAAUACCUAUCUUCAUCUGUAGGACAGUUUGAAGAGGUGUGAUCAGUGCUGGGGGAAUACCUAUCUUCGUCUGUAGGACAGUUUGAAGAGGUGUGAUCAGUGCUGGGGGAAUACCUAUCUUCGUCUGUAGGACAGUUUGAAGAGGUGUGAUCAGUGCUGGGGGAAUACCUAUCUUCAUCUGUAGGACAGUUUGAAGAGGUGUGAUCAGUGCUGGG
Long non-coding RNA from Oncorhynchus keta (chum salmon), 1043 nucleotides. RefSeq lists it as uncharacterized. The record is from RefSeq and is a predicted model, not a curated record. The transcript has 3 exons. Lineage: Eukaryota; Metazoa; Chordata; Actinopteri; Salmoniformes; Salmonidae.